UCCGUAGGCGGCAUGUUAGGUGAGGUGUGAAAUCCCCCGGCUCAACCGAGGAAUUGCGCUUCAAACCGGCGUGCUUGAGGAAGAUAGAGGUGGGCGGAACUGAUGGUGGAGCGGUGAAAUGCGUUGAUAUCAUCAGGAACACCGGAGGCGAAGGCGGCCACUGGGUCUUUUCUGACGCUGAGGGACGAAAGCUAGGGGAGGCGAACG
RNAcentral lists this ribosomal RNA (207 nucleotides) under uncultured bacterium. Its description in RNAcentral is "partial 16S ribosomal RNA". It matches the Rfam family "Bacterial small subunit ribosomal RNA", at positions 568 to 774 of the family's 1533-position model. The record is from RNAcentral.